RNAcentral lists this ribosomal RNA (484 nucleotides) under uncultured bacterium. RNAcentral describes it as "partial 16S ribosomal RNA". It matches the Rfam family "Bacterial small subunit ribosomal RNA", at positions 30 to 507 of the family's 1533-position model. The record is from RNAcentral.
AUUGAACGCUGGCGGCAGGCCUAACACAUGCAAGUCGAGCGGAUGAAGGGAGCUUGCUCCUGGAUUCAGCGGCGCACGGGUGAGUAAUGCCUAGGAAUCUGCUUGGUAGUGGGGGAUAACGUCCGGAAACGGGCGCUAAUACCGCAUACGUCCUGAGGGAGAAAGUGGGGGAUCUUCGGACCUCACGCUAUCAGAUGAGCCUAGGUCGGAUUAGCUAGUUGGUGGGGUAAAGGGCUACCAAGCCGACGAUCCGUAACUGGUCUGAGAGGAUGAUCACUCACACUAGAACUAGGACAGGGUCCAGACUACUACGGGAGGCAGCAGUGGGGAAUAUUGGGCAAUGGGGGAAAGCCUGAUACAGCCAGACCACGUGUGUGAAAAAGGUCUUCGGAUUGUAAAGCACUUUAAGUUGGGAGGAAGGGCAGUAGGUUAAUACCUUGCUGUUUUGACGUUACCAACAGAAUAAGCACCGGCUAACUUCGUG